RNAcentral lists this transfer RNA (76 nucleotides) under Staphylococcus aureus. RNAcentral describes it as "tRNA-Met(cat)". It matches the Rfam family "tRNA". Rfam says of the family: Transfer RNA (tRNA) molecules are approximately 80 nucleotides in length. Their secondary structure includes four short double-helical elements and three loops (D, anti-codon, and T loops). The record is from RNAcentral. Lineage: Bacteria; Bacillati; Bacillota; Bacilli; Caryophanales; Staphylococcaceae.
CGCGGGAUGGAGCAGUUCGGUAGCUCGUCGGGCUCAUAACCCGAAGGUCGGUGGUUCAAAUCCCGUCUUCUGCUCC